GAUCUCUUAGCGCACAAAGUCAGGCUAUCACUACAAGGGGAGUCCGACCCUGGCUGUAGAAAAACUACUUGGUGCGGAACUCGAGUCUCUUCCGCCCACCGUGGGGGACCGCACCGGUCAGGUCCAGCGAGGAGCCCCGCCGCGAGUUUGGGGGCGCAGCCGGGCCCGGCGGGGGCGGCGAGCGCGCGUCCCCCCGCCCGCUCAGGCAGCGUCGAGGCGCGAGCAGCUCAGCCACCCUUGCAGAGGGAGCUCUCGACAGCUCUGGGGUCCCUCUGCUCGCAGCCGCAGCAGCGCCGCCUGCGCCACUCGGCGGAGACGGAGACCAGCGGCGGCGGUGCGCGGACUGGGAGCGACCGCCAAGCAGCCGAGCGGCAGGGGUAUGCUCGCAAAGCGGCCGGCUUUGAAAACAGGAGGAAGAAGAGUGGGAGACAGGAGAAAAGCCCUCCAGGAGCUCCUUGCUCUCAUCUCAGCCACCUUGGUAGGAAGCUGCUGCUGCUAAGGGAAGACCCAGAAGCCUGGCCGUUCGCUGACGGGGUUCUGCUGCCCCCUUCUGGCCAGAAACUCCAGUCUUCCCCACGGUCGUUGCAGCCGGCUUCAUCUGCCUCCAGGCCGCCUGGAGCUAGCUGCUAGGGAGCCAUUACCAGGACUGGCACCUCUGGGCUUUCUCUGGGCCAGCUCCACAGUUUGGCUGCAGCCUGGGCCCACAGCUUCCAGGCCCAGGGCACCCCCGGUCUCCAGACUGGGCCUCGUCAGCAACACCCAACCACCGUCUUCCUCUGCUCUCUUUCCCAACCCCAGUUCCAGCCUCUGGGCUCUCUUCUGCCUGAAUUUCCAGGGCCAAAGCACAUGCCAUUGUCACAGCUGGGGGUGCAGAUACACUAGUGUCAGGAAGCGCCAUAGCCAGAGGGUGCUGGAGCAGAGGUCAGGAAGGCACCAGGCCAGGCCAUGUAGGAAAGGCAUUUUGCUUUUUUAUUUUCUGUAAAACUCUGUAAAUAAAAUAUAAAACCAAGGGAUGUGGUAGGACACUGAUUUGUGGCAAGUGUGCUGAGCCGAGGCUGGGAGGCACUUGACUGCAGGCACUGACUGCCAACCCAAGGGCAACGGAAGAAUAUAUUAGAUUUUCACUGAUGGGAAUCUGUGGGCGAGAGGUGUCUGGAGCCAGCCCUCACCCUCCCUGCCAGUGCCUGAUAAGCCCUGAAAGUGAGGGGGAAGGGGCACUG
Molecule: long non-coding RNA, 1220 nt
Filed under: Zalophus californianus (California sea lion)
Lineage: Eukaryota; Metazoa; Chordata; Mammalia; Carnivora; Otariidae
Description: lncRNA (ENSZCAG00015024395.1)
Source: RNAcentral